UACGUAUGGUGCGAACGUUGUUCGGAAUCACUGGGCAUAAAGAGCACGUAGGCGGUUAAGCAAGUCCAUUGUGAAAUCCCCCGGCCUAACCGGGGAACUGCAUUGGAUACUACUUGACUUGAGUGCAGGAGGGGAGAGUGGAAUUCCAGGUGGAGCGGUGAAAUGCGUAGAUAUCUGGAGGAACGCCGGCGGCGAAAGCGACUCUCUGGUCUGUAACUGACGCUGAGGUGCGAAAGCGUGGGGAGCAAACAGG
RNAcentral lists this ribosomal RNA (253 nucleotides) under uncultured bacterium. RNAcentral's name for it is "partial 16S ribosomal RNA". It matches the Rfam family "Bacterial small subunit ribosomal RNA", at positions 524 to 776 of the family's 1533-position model. The record is from RNAcentral.